CAAACAAACCAAAUAGAAGUGACAGUAUAGAGAAUGUAAAGUUAU
This 45-nucleotide non-coding RNA is filed under the name Trypanosoma brucei brucei. The record is from RNAcentral. Lineage: Eukaryota; Euglenozoa; Kinetoplastea; Trypanosomatida; Trypanosomatidae.